This 431-nucleotide unclassified non-coding RNA is filed under the name Hevea brasiliensis (rubber tree). The record is from RNAcentral. Lineage: Eukaryota; Viridiplantae; Streptophyta; Magnoliopsida; Malpighiales; Euphorbiaceae.
GAAGCAAAAAAUUGGAGCAGAAGAAGAUGGAGGCGGCGGCAGCAACAGCGGAAUCUGUUCAAUGCUUCGGGAGGAAGAAGACAGCUGUAGCAGUAACCCACUGCAAACGCGGUAAAGGUUUGAUCAAGAUCAACGGUGUACCUAUCGAGCUAGUUCAGCCAGAGAUUCUGAGGUACAAGGCUUAUGAACCUAUUUUGCUUUUAGGACGACAUCGUUUUGCUGGUGUAGACAUGAGGAUCCGUGUGAAAGGUGGAGGUCACACGUCACAAAUCUAUGCAAUUCGUCAGUCAAUAGCGAAAGCACUUGUUGCAUUUUACCAGAAGUAUGUUGAUGAGCAGUCGAAGAAGGAGAUUAAGGAUAUACUUGUGCGAUAUGAUAGGACUUUGCUUGUUGCUGAUCCUAGACGAUGUGAGCCUAAGAAGUUUGGUGGU